AGGUUCUGUGAUACACUCCGACUCGAGCUCUGGAGCAGUCAGUGCAUGACAGAACUUGG
This 59-nucleotide microRNA precursor is filed under the name Pteropus alecto (black flying fox). RNAcentral describes it as "microRNA pal-mir-152 precursor". Its record names the gene pal-mir-152. It matches the Rfam family "mir-148/mir-152 microRNA precursor family", at positions 9 to 65 of the family's 74-position model. Rfam says of the family: The hairpin precursors (represented here) are predicted based on base pairing and cross-species conservation -- their extents are not known. Lineage: Eukaryota; Metazoa; Chordata; Mammalia; Chiroptera; Pteropodidae. The record is from miRBase by way of RNAcentral.